AUGAGCAAUGAGAGGCCAGAGAACCCUGAUCCAUCCCCACUGACUGAAAGCCUGAAGAGAAAGAGGGGGAGACCAAAGAAACAGACACAGGUGAGUGUAUGUCACCCAAAGAUCCUGCCUGAGGUGCCCACUGUUAAUCUGGUAGGAUCUGCAGGCAGCAAAGAGCAAAGAAAGCCAAGGUUUUGUGUAGUAAAUAUUAAGGCUAUUCAGGAAAGCAGCAGCAUGCGUGCUCUGGGGUAUCAGCCCCUGGUGCCAGAGGAGCCCCAGUGUCCACAUGGAAAACUGCUCAGACCAGGGAGAGGGAUGGGAAGAGCUGCUCAGGUCUCUGCUGCAGUCUGGAGGCUUUUGGGUGUCACAGCCCUCUGCCUCUACACCAGUAGUUGGAUGGAAGGCAACUGCAGGCUGUUCUCACCCUGUUCCAGGUGCUAUGGUCAGGAUCCUGGCAACUUAUCCAUUUUCCCAAGCCAAAAUGUAAAAGGAAUUAGAGGCAUUGCUGCCCAUCUUCUCGUGUGUUUCAGCAUCAGGAAAAGCAGAGACAACCAGGUAGGCUUGUCAGGAGUGACCCUGAUGAAUUUUCCCUUUAUUGCAGGAGGAGGCUUUGGGACCAGUGCUGGAGAAGAAGCCACGAGGAAGGCCAAAAGGAAGCAAGAAAGUGAGCAGUGUAACUGGACAAAUGGUAACAGUGAAUGGCUUGUGUGCUUUACCAAGGGGAGGAGAGAUGCUGGCUGUAUGAGAGGAAUGAGGGAUUUCUCUUAUGAUGGGGAAACUGGGGAAAGCUGCCCCUAUUGUGGUUCAUCCUCAGCUGCUGCCGUUGGACCCACCAGUUCCUGCAGCCUUUGUCUGAAGUCCCCCAGCCCUCCUGCCCCUGCCUGCUCAGCACUUCCUGCUGCAGUUUGUGCUGCUGGUUUCCAUGUAGUGACAGUCAGUGGGAUUCCAUGGGUGCUUCCUCCUCAGCUGUCCCCCUCCCCCAGCUUUGGCUCCUUUUUUUGCUUGUCCUGCAAGAGCUUCAUGCAGAGUUCACUUUGA
RNAcentral lists this long non-coding RNA (1026 nucleotides) under Coturnix japonica (Japanese quail). RNAcentral's name for it is "lncRNA (ENSCJPG00005005789.1)". The record is from RNAcentral. Lineage: Eukaryota; Metazoa; Chordata; Aves; Galliformes; Phasianidae.